This 1069-nucleotide long non-coding RNA is filed under the name Anser cygnoides (Swan goose). RNAcentral's name for it is "lncRNA (ENSACDG00005016009.1)". Lineage: Eukaryota; Metazoa; Chordata; Aves; Anseriformes; Anatidae. The record is from RNAcentral.
AUGGAGCCAGCAUUCGCAGCAGUUCUUUCCUACCAACACAAAGAAAGGCAGAAAGCACGUGUUCUUGCAGCGUGUAUCAGCAGUAAGGGAUUGACAGGAUUCAUCCCAGCAGAGUGUCGUGAACAGCAGUCAACAGCUCAGACAUUGCUGCAGCAGAAUAACCACGAAUCUGGGGUACUUCCUUGCCUCUCUGCCAGGAGCAGGACUUGCUUUUCUCUGGAGUUCAGCCCUAAUAGAAUCUACACCUCUCCCUGGACUUUGAAGUGCUCCUAGCAUUGGAAGAGGUGGGUCUGGGGAUCUAUUUCUAAGCAGGUAGUAUAUUGUGUAUUACAUUAGCUACUACAUAUUAAAUUUUUGCAAUGAGUGGAAGGUAUGCUUCUUUUGGCAAAUAUGGAUUAGGUGCAUAAUAUGCUCUCUGUUCCCUGUGGGGUAGAGAUGAUGUGACAUCCCUGGAAGGCAAGGUAACAAUCACUGAAACCAGACAGAAGACUCAUCCUACGUGCUGAACAGAAGGGCUUCUAAAUUGCUUUGUUAGUGCUAGACAGACUAAGGAUGUGAAACAGGCAGAGUACUGUGGCAGUGCAGGAAAAGCAACUAAGAAGUAACCUUUUCCACUGUUUAAUAAUAAUAAGGACAGUGUAUUUGUGAGCUACCUGGGAGUGCACAACUCUAAAACCUUCGGAGCUGAGACAUACUGGGAUUCCUUGCCAUGAUGUUGUACUAAGUGAAUGUGGGAUAUCUACAGUAUGUGUUUAUCUCUGUGUAACCCAUUAUUAAGACAGAAGAGAGCUUCUUCUUUUCUAAGGUGAAAUCUGCCCUUGACUGUCUCAAAGAUUUAAGCAUGAAGUGGGGAAGUGGCUGAACCCUCUAUCCUGUUGUGAACUGUGCUGGUAGGAGACAUCGUGCGAUUGUACCCAUCCCACACUGGUUAUUUCUCUGCAGCAGUCUUGUAUGCUUGUAUUUUACUUUAAUCAGGGCUUUGCAGUAAAACUUGUAAAUUGUCUAAUUAGAUUUGUACAAACUGUUCUUCUGGAAUAAACUGAAGUCAGUUGGCCUUUGGGGGGAGGGG